AGCGAACGCUGGCGGCAGGCUUAACACAUGCAAGUCGAACGGGUAUCUUCGGAUACUAGUGGCAGACGGGGUGAGUAACACGUGGGAACGUACCUUUCGGUUCGGAAUAAUACAGGGAAACUUGUACUAAUACCGGAUAAGCCCUUCGGGGGAAAGGAUUUAUCGCCGAUAGAUCGGCCCGCGUCUGAUUAGCUAGUUGG
RNAcentral lists this ribosomal RNA (200 nucleotides) under uncultured bacterium. RNAcentral describes it as "partial 16S ribosomal RNA". It matches the Rfam family "Bacterial small subunit ribosomal RNA", at positions 29 to 252 of the family's 1533-position model. The record is from RNAcentral.